CUUGCGGCGUGCCUAACACAUGCAAGUCGAGCGAUGAAGUUCCUUUCGGAACGGAUUAUCGGCGGACGGGUGAGUAACACGUGGGCAACCUGCCUUAUAGAGGGGAAUAGCCUUCCCAAAGGAAGAUUAAUACCCCAUAAGAUUGUAACUUCUCAUGACGCCGCUAUUACAGGAGCAAUCCCCUAUAAGAUGGGCCCGCGGCGCAUUAUCUAGUUGGUGAGGUAACGGCUCACCACGGCGACAAUGCGUAGCCGACCUGAGAGGGUGAUCGGCCACAUUGGGACUGAGACACGGCCCACACUCCUACGGGAGGCAGCAGUGGGGAAUAUUGCGCAAUGGGGGAAACCCUGAUGCACCAACGCCGCGUGAGUGAUGACGGCCUUCGGGUUGUAAAGCUCUGUCUUUGGGGACAAUAAUGACGGUACCCCCGGAGGAAGCCACGGCUAACUACGUGCCACCAGCCGCGGUAAUACGUAGGUGGCAAGCGUUGUCCGGAUUUACUGGGCGUAAAGGGAGCGUAUGCGGAUUUUUAAGUGGGAUGUGAAAUACCCGGGCUCAACCUGUGUGCUGCAUUCCCAACUGUAAAUCUAGAGUGCGGGAGGGGAAAGUGGAAUUCCUAGUGUAUCGGUGAAAUGCGUAGAGAUUAUGAAAAACACCAGUGGCGAAAGCGACUUUCUGGACUGUGACUGACACUGAGGCUCUAAAGCGUGGGGAGCAAACAGGAUUAGAUACUUGGGUAGUACUCGCCGUAAACGAUGAAUACUAGGUGUAGUGGUUGUCAUGACAUCUGUGCCCCCCCCUAAUGCAUUAAGUAUUCUGCCUGGGGAGUACGGUGGCAAGAUUAAAACUCAAAGGAAUUGACGGGGGCCCGCACAAGUAGCGGAGCAUGUGGUUUAAUUUGAAGCAACGCGAAGAACCUUACCUAGACUUGACAUCUCCUGAAUUGCCAUGUAAUGUGGGAAGUCCCUUCGGGGACAGGAAGACAGGUGGUGCAUGGUUGUCGUCAGCUCGUGUCGUGAGAUGUUGGGUUAAGUCUCGCAACGAGCGCAACCCUUUUUGUUAGUUGUUACCAUUUAGUUGAGCACUCUAGCGAGACUGCCCGGGUUAACCGGGAGGAAGGUGGGGAGGACGUCAAAUCAUCAUGCCCCUUAUGUGUAGGGGUACACACGUGUUACAAUGGCCGGUACAACGAGAUGCAAUACCGUGAGGUGGAGCAAAACUAUAAAACCGGUGUCAGUUCGGAUUGUAGGGUGAAACUCUCGUACAUGAAGCUGGAGUUAUUAGUAAUCGCGAAUCAGAAUGUGGCGGUGAAUACGUUCCCGGGCCUUGUACACACCGCCCGUCACACCAUGAGAGUUGGCAAUACCCAAAGUUGGUGAUAUAACCCGUAAGGGAGGAAGCCACCUAAGGUAGGGUCAGCGAUUG
RNAcentral lists this ribosomal RNA (1425 nucleotides) under uncultured organism. RNAcentral describes it as "SSU rRNA". It matches the Rfam family "Bacterial small subunit ribosomal RNA". The record is from RNAcentral.